RNAcentral lists this ribosomal RNA (257 nucleotides) under uncultured bacterium. RNAcentral's name for it is "partial 16S ribosomal RNA". It matches the Rfam family "Bacterial small subunit ribosomal RNA", at positions 524 to 776 of the family's 1533-position model. The record is from RNAcentral.
UACGGAGGGUGCAAGCGUUAGUCCGGAUUCACUGGGUUUAAAGGGUGCGCAGGUGGGUUGGUAAGUCAGUGGUGAAAUCCCCGAGCUUAACUUGGGAACUGCCAUUGAUACUAUCAGUCUUGAAUACCGUGGAGGUCAGGCGGAAUAUGUCAUGUAGCGGUGAAAUGCUUAGAUAUGACAUAGAACACCAAUUGGCGAAGGCAGCUGGCUACUCGGAUCAUUGACACUGAGGCACGAAAGCGUGGGGAUCAAACAGG